This 397-nucleotide ribosomal RNA is filed under the name Staphylococcus aureus. RNAcentral's name for it is "bacterial SSU rRNA". It matches the Rfam family "Bacterial small subunit ribosomal RNA", at positions 1 to 387 of the family's 1533-position model. Lineage: Bacteria; Bacillati; Bacillota; Bacilli; Caryophanales; Staphylococcaceae. The record is from RNAcentral.
UUUAUGGAGAGUUUGAUCCUGGCUCAGGAUGAACGCUGGCGGCGUGCCUAAUACAUGCAAGUCGAGCGAACGGAUGAGAAGCUUGCUUCUCUGAUGUUAGCGGCGGACGGGUGAGUAACACGUGGAUAACCUACCUAUAAGACUGGGAUAACUUCGGGAAACCGGAGCUAAUACCGGAUAAUAUUUUGAGCCGCAUGGUUCAAAAGUGAAAGACGGUCUUGCUGUCACUUAUAGAUGGAUCCGCGCUGCAUUAGCUAGUUGGUAAGGUAACGGCUUACCAAGGCAACGAUGCAUAGCCGACCUGAGAGGGUGAUCGGCCACACUGGAACUGAGACACGGUCCAGACUUCUACGGGAGGCAGCAGUAGGGAAUCUUCCGCAAUGGGCGAAAGCCUGAC